GUACUCUAUAAAAAAUAAUUUAGAAAGUUUUAGAUAUAACUGAGCAUCCCUACGUGGUCAUUUAAGAAAACAAAGUACUGUGUGUCAACUAAAACACAUUUCAAAACUAGGAUGGUUUUGGAAAUUAAUACAAAAUGGGAAAGUAAGGGCUGGAGAGAUGGCUUUCAUGGUUAAGGUUGCUCAGUACUCUCGAGGGGACCUGGGUUCAGUUUCUAGCACCCACGUGGCAGUGAUCACCAAUCUAUAACUCCAGGUCCAGGGGACCCAGCAUCCUCUUUUGGUCUCCACGAGUGCUGCUGGUACAUGGUACCCAGAUAGACAUGCAAGCACACACUCCUGUGUGCAGAAUUCAAAAGUAACUGAGUCUUUAAAAUGUGAGAAAAGCCUUAAAUACAAAGACUGUCUUUAAAGGCUGAUGCUCAACGAGAUUAGAGAGAGUUCAGUGAUAGAGGGUUCACUGGGCAUGCUCAGGCCCUGGGUUGCAGCCCUUGUACAGAAAAAGAAAAGAAAAUAGGUAAAGUGGUUUUACAUAUUUUAAAGGCUAGUUUAAUGUUGAGUUGAGAGAUACAAAUAUAUACUGAUGAUGUGGAGUCAUGUUCUAAAAUAUUAUUGUCAUCAGGAUGAAUCCAGGUAAUUAAUUUAUAUAUUAUUUGACAUGUUAAAAUAUAUUCUUGAAGCGAUUUUCUUUGUUUAGAGUAUGUAUUUAUUAGCUGUGAGGGUUACAUGCAUUUAUUUUGUUCAUAUUCAUCCUCCCCCACCACCUCCUCCCAGACUGACCUGCCCAUUCCUAACCCACACAAUGUUCUGUUCUCAUUUAACAAAACAGAACAUGGAGUUCUAUUAGUGUGCGGCCAUCUUGGGGUGUGAUCUCUGAGCAGUUUCCACUUGUACUAAGUAUUUGCUAUGGCCUCUGAGUUAUACAAGGCGCAGUUUUCUUGAACUUAUUCCUUCCGAUGAACCGACAUUUUUGUAUUCUCUUGACCAAUUAGAAUUCAAAGAACAAAAUGUGACUCCUUUAGCUCUACCCUGUUCUUCUAUGCUUAGGAUCUGUGAUUUCAGAUUGUGUGUUGCACUAGUGGGGAAUAAAUUAUAAAAUUGUAUUUACGAAGGCUAUCCAAGCAAAAUGAUUAAAAAAUAAAUUAGCAUACUUAAUGAGAAUCCUAAAUUUGCCAAGUCCAAGAAAAGUCUUUUCAGCAAUCUUGAGAAUGUUCUUACCAAAGCAUAGUGACUGCUCUUACUUAGACUCCCUAUUGCUUGGAAGCUGAAUUGUACCCUGUAUUCCACUGGGAAUAACCUGGAAUUUUUAAAUUUUUCUGUAUUUUUUUCUGGGUCUUUAUCUUGCUUUUUGUAGUGCAAAUACUACACAAGUGAUGUUUCUUCCCCCGUGAUGCUUUUAACCGAAGCAUGAGCAUUGGAAAAGGUUAUUAAAUGUUCUCCUCCAGCCAUUCUCCAAGGUCGUCCUAACAAGAGCCCGGUGUCUACAACUUAGCCACACUGGGAAAUCAGGUAAUGGAGUACAAGAAACCAACAGUGCGAUUUUCUUACUUAGCGUUAACUUUCAUAAAAAGAGAUUGGAAUUAUGUUCUAAGAUAUGUAAGCGUACAGGAAAAUGUGCCAAAGAUUAGGUGGUGCACUACUGAGUGCCCAAGUCUACUGGAAAAGUAAACAGACAUAAGCGUUUUAUUUGGAAAUAUUCUGGGACAUUUAAAAAUGCACACAUUUUAAUACACACUUGGCAGUUACAUAAUGUCUCUGUAUUCCUUAGCUACCCUGCUUCAGUGUGUGACCCAAACGGUUCCCAGUACCUGCAGUGAAGCCUCUGACCUCUAAGCACGUGGUUCUAAUCCGUGCACCUUCUGCCUUCGCACAUCUCUGCAGCUGUCAUUCGUAGGCACCAUCGGGUGUCAGAUGAAGACCCUCCGUGUACUUUGGCUAUGCUGUGUUCUUUUUUAUGCCUUCAUGCCUUCCCCUGAAAUGUGCCUGUCUGUCCUUCAUAACCGGUAUCGGGGCCCAUCCUCUCUGCGCUCUUGCUUUUCCUAGGAAUGUAAUCCUUUGCUCUUUUUUCGUGUGUCCCCCAUACUAAUCUGGCAAACUCUUUUGUUUUAAAACCUUAUGCUAGUAUCUACAUAAUCCUUUCUUCCUAGAUACAAUUACUUAAAAAAGAGUGAUAUAUUUGUUUUCUACAUGCUUGGCCAAUGCUUGGUGGAUGGAUAAAUGGAUGGAUGGAUGGAUGGAUGGGAAGAGUUAAGCAUGUAUAAUAGGCACCAAUAUUCCAACCUUUCUUAAUUUGUUUUUAACUCCCUUCCUUUGUAAAUACUUUUGUCAAACAUUAUUUGUGUAAUAAUGAGAUAUAGAAAAACACCCAAAUGUUGUUUUCCCACUGAUAGGCUUAUCAAGCAGCGAGGACAAGAGAUGAGUGUGUGAACACUAGGCAUACACUGCGCCUUAACAAACAGUGACUACCAUGCUCUAAGUUACAUGAGGCUACCGCACACUUUUUAUGAAUUGUCUUAUGAGCAGUUUUUCCCUUCAGUUAUUCUUAAAGAUCCUACAAAGGAAGGUUGUAUCUUAUAUUUUCUUUAAUCACUACUCUGUUAAGGUAUUUUUAAAGUGGUGAUUAAUUAAGCAGCUGCAGAUGAAAUUACGAUAUCAUCAUAGGAAUGUGGGGGCAAGAAAGCCCUCUGGAGUCAUCUGUUGCUAAACUGACCGUGAUGGUUUGUAUAUGCUUGGCCCAGGGAGUAAGUGGCACUGUGAGAGGCCAUGGAAGGCCAUUGGUGACGGUACAGCCUCAGUUGUAGUUGAUGGCCCAGGACUGAAGGGGUCAUGCAAAGGACUUGAGGUUUGGCACCAUGAAGAGAGCCUAUGAGAGGCUGUCGGUGAAAGACCACAUUGUACUGGAGAUGUGGAGUGGAUCAACCUGAGCUUAGAGUGCUAUAGAAGGCAGAGCUGGAGAAGUGACACCAGCCCUUUGAAGGAGCCCAGAAAGUCAUGUGUGGACCCCCAGACACUGGAACAAGAAGCUGUAACAUUGAAGCUGCCUUGGAGACUCCAAGAUGUUUGAGAUGCCAGAGCUGUGGGCUAUCUGCUGAGCAAAGCUGCUAACAGGGUGUGGAAACAGCCCAGGAGAAAGAAGUUUGUUGCAAUCAAGAAAAGACUGCUUGGACAUCAGUCAUGGAGAUGCAGAGUUUGGAGUUUGCACAGCUGGUUUCCUGUCUUGCUUUAGGAAUUACAGUAUGGCCUCCAUGGACUCCUAUGUUUCAACAAGCCUAUGGGGGCCAGGGAGUAGAGUAUGAUAGUUUGUAUAUGCUCGGUCCAGGGAGUGGUACUAUUAGAGGGUGUGGCCCUGUUGGAGUGGGUGUGGCUUUUUUGGAAUAGGUGUGUCACUGUGGGUGUGGGCUUUAAGACCUUCAUCCAAGCUGCCUGGAAGUGAAUAUUCUGCUAGCAGCCCGUAAAUGAAGAUGCAGAACUCUUAGCUCCUCCUGCACCAUGCCUGCCUGGAUGCUGCUGUGAUCCUGCCUUGAUGAUAAUGGACUGAACUUCUGAACCUCGCGCUCUGAAAGGCAAGAUAACUGCUGGAAAAAUCUACACAGAUUACUGGAAUGCAGAGCUGAGCCGUUCUUUAAGGAACUUGUUGAGGCAGACUUCAGACCCCAGCGAGGGCCUCGUGGGGACCUGCAGUAGGACCAACUGGGGACUCCAGAGUGGACACUUCAUCCCUCAGGAGGCACCGGAGAUAUGGUUCUGCCAUUAAGAGCACUGGCUGUUCUUCCAGAGGACCCAGGUUCAAUUCCCAGCACCUAUAAGGCAGCUCACAAGCAUCUAUAACACCAGUUCCAGGGGAUCUUGUGUCCUCUUCCAGUCUCCACGGACAUUGGGCACACGUGUGGUAAACAGGUAAGUAAUGCAGGCAAAACACAUGUACACAUACAAAAAAAUCAAAAACAAAAUUUUCUCAUGUUUGGUGGCUGUCAGUACCUGUAAUGGUGUGAUUAGUCACUAACACCACAGCCUUCCAGUCUCUUACUACUUUUUAUUUUAUGUGGAACUACACACUACGCAGCUCUGGGCUGUCAGUAAUGUAAUUGCCCACAGAGAUGCUAUCUUGGAGCUUUUUCCUAUUAAAUUUUGCUCUGGGUUAAACAAUCCAAUUUCAUUUUGUCCUACAAUAGUAAAUCUUAUUUUAGGCUUCAAAAAUUAUUUCAGGAUGAAAUAAAUAUUAGCAAGAGGAUGAACACCACCAAGUCACAUACAUCAAUAACAUGGAUGGCAAAAUUGUUGCAGAUAUGCUUGGGACAUUUUGAUAAAAUGGACAAGCUAACUUCCCCAGUGCUUUUUAUUCUAGCUUUUUAGUGUUGUAUUUAACAUUUAACAGAGGCAUGAUCAAGGUUUACUGAAUUAAAUUGUGAAGCACAGAAAGCUGGAAAUCAUGGGCUCUGGACCAUUGACAGGAGGUCUAGUCAGCCUCUCUUCAGACCUGUCACAGGCUUAACUCGGCCUCCACUUCAUGAAGAUUUUGAAAAUCUAAAAUGUCUCUGUAGAGUUAAGCAGGAGUCUGAAUCACAGGAGGAUGAGAAUGAGGUAAUGAUGCGAUGAGGAGGAGGAAGAGGAGGAGGAAGAGAAGGAUAAAAGCAUACAAAAUGAAGACAGUUACCAGGCUCUUAACUGCCUAUAUUGUGUCAUCCACUUUUCUCCGUUCCUGACAUUUUCUACCUUAAAGUUUCUACUCCAUUAGCUCAGCUUUAAAGAGCUAUUAAAAAAACAAAAGCAUCAUGCGGGACACACCAGGGCUGGCACGUGUAUAAACUUACAGAGGCUGUGACAACACACAUAUUACCUCCAGAGUCAAAGCAGAAAACAGUACUCGCCUUAAAGGGACUGAGACAUAGUUUGGUUUGGAGUCACUUUGAGUGACCAUGGCCCAGGGACACAGACUUAGGUCAUCCCAUAUCCCAUGUUCCCACGUUAGUUUUAGUUUAGUUUUACAGGACAAAGACAAUCAUGAAUCAAGACAUUUAGAAUACAUUUGGUGGGAAUACCAUUGAGGCAAUUACAGCAAGAUGGGGCAGGCUUUCCUACAGCCUGUCUCAUCCGACGACUUUCUUGGCUUUCAGGUUGGUUGAAGCCAGUAUCUGCCAACAGACUUUAGUUUUCUUCUUAAAAACUCUCUCAUGGGAUUUUAGCUCUGACACAAAGGUGAGUAAGGAAUGGCAGUUGUGGUAUGUAGGGGACUAAAACUAGCCCAAAACAACGUGAUUAAACUCUGGACCUGUAACAUUUACAAUUUUGCCACAGUACUAAAAUUCUAAUUAGUCCCUGCCACACAGCCCUCCCUACCCCCAUUCAGGAGUUUUCGUUCACAAUAGGUUCAAGCAGGAAAAAAAAAUCCCAAUACAAACUAGGGGUUAAAGAAUACAAAGUUCCGGGCUGGACAGAUGGCUCAGCAGUUAGGAGAACUAAAUGCUCUUCCAGAGGUCCUGAGUUCAUUUUCCAGCAACCACCUGGUGGCUCACAACCAUCUGUAAUGGGAUCCGAUGCCCUCUUCUGGUGUGUCUGAAAACAUUGACAGUAUAACUCACAUACAUAAAAUAAAUAAAAUCUUUAAAAAAAAAAAUACCAAGUUCCAUUCCUAACCAAGAGGUAUUUACUACUGAUAAUACUGGGAACGGUAAAAUCGAUUUUCCCCAAUGGAGUAUCAACCACAUUUCAGGGAAGGCCCGUGCCCAGAAGUAAUUGGCCAACAAAAUUGAUCAACACAAAAUGGUGUGUGUGUGUGUGUGUGUGUGUGUUUUGUUACGUUUUUAUGUUUGACUUUAUUUAAAUCUUUGGCAAGGACCUCUGGAAUUCCUAAAAGCAUUUACCAAAAGCUGAGGACAUUUCUGGGAAACUCGAGAGCUUUGGGAAACUGUCUUUUAGUCUAAAGUGUGUGUGUGUGUGUGUGUGUGUGUGUGUACACUAAUACUGUUUAUACAUUCUGCAAUGUAAGUUCAUACUUCUCAUGAUACAUCUAAAACCAAAACAAAGCCCAUGUACUAGGGCGAAGUACUGUCCAUCUACUUAAAAAUGUGUUUUAAUCAGCCAGCCAACGUGGGAAAGGGGCGGGAUUUUCCUCGGGCAGCUUUCUCAACAAACUGGUGCAAAGCCACACCACGGAAUGCAGAAUGCCAACAUCCUAACAAAAAAAAUAGAGAGUAACACUCAAAUUAAGUGCUUUAAAAGCCCAUGAUAUAUGCUUCCCCAAAUCCUUAGAUCCUAUUAGCUGUCACGAAGAGCCAGAAGGUAACGAGAGACAAGGACGAUCAGAUCAGGCCCAGCGCAGACACUAGCUGAGAUGAACUCAAAGGGAUUAAUGGCGAGAAAGACUACCUUGUACAUCGCUAACUUUCCAGAGAUUUCCAGAAACGGAAUUUACAGCCAGAAACCAACUCCUGCGGGUGGGAAGCAACAAAACAAACAAAACCCUGCUAAGACAUCACUUUCAUUUUCGCCUGUAGACCCCUGCGAACGAUCAAAGAUGGAGAAAUGAGCAGUCCUCAAGCAACAACGCCCUCCUAAUGCGCAAGCGCGCCCGGAGGCCCCGCCCCUCGCGGUCACCCCAAGACCAGGCGCGCGCAUCGGAAGUCAGAACCUCCAAGGCUCCUCCUUGCUCUUCCUCCACAAGGCCCCGCGUUCGCAGUCCGGUUCCGGUUGUAGCUCCGCCCUCGCGCGGGAACACGCCAGAAGGCUGGAUAUCCGGGACGGGAGGCUAGCUGAGCGCUCACUUCCGGUGGCAGCUCGUCCCAUCUCCCUUGAGGGGCAGGCUCUGGCUCUCGGUGCGGUAGCGCCAUCUGGCGCCGAGUGUUCCUCAGCCCGCGGAGGGGCGUGCUUCCUCCCUUCAGAACAUUCCAGAGACUCCUCGGCUCUGCACUGGUUUCCCUACUUGUGCAUGCAUUUGAAUUCAGAAGACUUUGAAGAGUCCGGUUCACUACAGUUUAGGACUGGGAGAGGUGAUGUGGAAGGAGAGCUGGGUGAUUAAGGCCCACAGUUGGAAUCGUUUAGAAUUCAAGAUUGCUUUGUUGAGAGCGCUGUUUGCUGGUUUUGCAGUAUUGACACUGAAACCCGACAGGUUAGUAGCCUUUCCGGCCAGUGCAAUGGGAGUAAACGAAGCGCUAAAUCCAUGUCUUUUGUACAGUCACACAUUAGGAAAACACGUUCAUAUAAGUAGACUCUGUCGUAGAGGGUGCUGUAACACCAGGUAUACUAAAUUUCUUAAUUACGAUGCCAUUUCUGUCUUCAAAGUUUCUUGAAAAUCGGUAACUCAAAAAAGGACAAAAAUCACUUCAACAGACAUUUAACCUCCUGGAAGAUAAUCUUUUAAAAAUCCCUUUCCUUUUGUAACUUCUUUGUAGUUCAUUCUUUUCACUGAGUCAUUGCCCCUUACCCCUACUAUGUAAUUUAAAAUCUUCACGCUGCUUUCGGUUUUUUUUUGUUUGUUUGGUUGGUUUUUUUUUGUUUUGUUUUGUUUUUUAAGAGCAAGCUUCCUGAAGCCUUUGUAUUCUGAGUUUGACAGUGGCAUUUGACCCUAAGCUAUCGGUAAAUGCCUUACUCUCGGUAACCCUUCCUUUUGUACCCAAUAGAAAUACAGCUGUUCAUAGAUAGGCUUGCCGUGUUCGUAGCUAAAGUUAUUCCUAAAAGUAAUUUUUUAAUACUAAAAAGUUAAGUUGUUUACUGAAGUUGUGAGUGAUUACUAUAAAGAUUAUAUUGCCUUUAAUUACAAGAUAGUGUAUCUAACUGUGAAGAUAAGUGAAAUGGUAUUUUUAUAAUGACUCAGUAAGACUUCCAUUACCAGGCACUAGUGAGAUGGCUCGGGGGUUAAGUCUGGCUCCAGGCAUGCACACGGUACACAGACAUACAUAAAAUAAUAAUACACAUAAACUGCGUAUACAAAAAUAAUAAUAAAUAAAAUAGGAUAUUCUAACUCCAUUGUUUUUAGUGAUUAAACAUGAGAAAAUUCCAAAUCAGAGAUCCCUCCCCGCCUUCCUCCCUCUCCCUCCUUUUUAAUCCUUCUCUCUCUUCUUCCUCACUAACCUGAAUGAGUUUCCAUUUAAAGGGACAUAGGGAGGUAGCAGGGUGCCUUCAAAUAACUGUUAACAAGUAUUUAUACUAAUGAGACAAAAGCACACAUCCUCCUCUUCAUUUUAAACCAGCCUUGUAGUAAAAAAGGAACCCGUGUGUGUUCAUUACUUGCUCCUAUGUGCACACGUGUGUGUCACUUGCUGUGUUUAAAGAGCUUAAUACAUUUGCUGGCUGGUACUUCUCUACGAUGGCUGCGCCAUUGCCAUUUAUCCAGAGUAAUUUUGUCAAUAGGCAUUACAUGAAAUGAUGUUGAAAUUUACUUUCAAUAUUGUUUGGUAAUACUUGACACAAAAAAUCAGGGCUUCUUCAUCAGGCUUUUUUUGAACUGAAAUUUCUAGGCUAGGUCAGGUGGAGCACAUCUGCAGUCUGAGCCCUCAGGAGAUGCAGGGGAUCCAGUUUCCAAAAGCAGUUUUAAAAAGUAAUUUCUAUUACUAAUUUCUUUGUGGUUCCAUUUUCUUUAGUUCAUGCUUCUUAAAUUUUCUGAUAUAUAAAUGAAUGUGUAAUGAAUAUCUGUACAAAAAAGCAUUUUUUAAAGGAAAAAAAAGAGAAAAGCAUAUUCACGAAUGUUUUAAUGAUUCUUUGCUACAGUCAGUGUGCUGUGUAGCUGUUUAAAUUUUCCUUUUCGGGGCAAUGCCUGCAUUUGUGCGUGACUCACAGCAUGCACCAACUUUUUUCCCUGAAAUUCUCAUCAUUUUUCUUGUUACUUCCAGUGGACUCUGCAGACUUCACACUGUCUAAUAAUGUGUUCUCAGACUCUCUAGUCUUUUGUCUUGGUCCAUUUUAAAAUCUCAUCGAAGUUGUCGUUUCAAGCUGGUUUUUGGAAAUAAAUUAGAAUUAAUACUGCUGAGUUCAUCUUAAUGGCUCAUAUUCCCCUGUGGUGAAUUAAAUUUAUUGUUGCGUUUUCAGAAUGAUUUUUCUUACUCAUGAUCAGUAGGAGACCAUACGCUGAGUUACCUGAUCUAAUUGGGCUUAGGAGUAAAGUACAGCCUUUUUAGGGGGAGGUGUGGAGGCCAGCCUUGAACCUGUGAUUCUGCUGUCUCAGCCUCUUGAAUGCUGGGAUUCCAGGCCUGUGCCCACAAAGUGAGAACACUGAGGCAGAUGGUACAGUUUUCUGUUUGGUGAUUAUUACAUUUUAAGAUUUCCAAACUUUAUAUGGAAAAAUUAUCACAUGUAUUUUAUAAAGUAUUAAACUGUAUCCCUCUGCUAGAUUCAGCAGUGGCACAUGCAAGGCUGCCAUAGUCUAAUUCCCAGAGCUGUGACAAACAUCAUAACAGAAGCAGCUUGGGGAGGAGAGGGUCUAUUUUAUCUCACACUUCUCUGUCGCUCCUUGAACCAUCAUUAGACCCAUGCAUGUGUAGGUAACAGUUAACCACAUUAAACUCCACAGGAGCCCAGGAGAUGACUCAGUGGUUAAUUCACAAGGACUGGAGCUUGGAUCCUCAGGCCCCGCAUAGAGGCUGUGGGCGUGGUGACCCACCUGCAGUUCUAGCCUGGGAAGGUGAAGAACGGACCUCAAAACAAGUUGUCUAGGGAGUCCAGCCAUUCAGUGAACUCUGUCUUGGACUGAGAGAUCUGCCUUACUGAACAAGGAAGAAGAAUGAAGAGUACACCCACAUACACACUCACACAUGUGCUUACACACAGAUAGAUGUGUGUAUGCACACAUGCAAAGUACACAUAAUAAAAAUGGGAAAAUACACAGUUCAUCUCUUACAGAUGGGCAAUCAGAGUAGAGUGAAAAAUUACCCAUCAUGGAGGGCCAAUGAAUAAACGACCACAGAUAGAAACUUAAUGGGGACCCUGAAAGAAGAGAGAGAGAAGUAGGACUUUGAAGACAUGAUGAUCAUUAAAACUUCUGGAGCAUAUACUAAAUCUGUUUCUACAUCUUUGGCCUUAACCAAUGAGAAGAGAAUCACACUCACUCUAGCAGGGGCAGUGUGAAGUGUAAGGAAACCUUUGCAACAUCUGUGAGUUACGUUACAGCGUUAAAGCCAGAGAUAAGCCAUCAACUUGCUUCUGCUAACAGCAAUGCUUACGAGAUAUAAUGGCCUUCAGAUUCCUUCACAGCAUUAGUGAAAUUCUGUGGGAAAUCAUGAGAAAUUGUUUCAAAUUGUCAAAAACCACUCCAAAUUUAGCAGUACUUUAAAUAUCCAAAACAUCAAUGUUUUGAGGAGAAAGGGAAUAAAUUUUCUAUAAGCUGUAUUAGACAUUGAACCAUACAAUAUUUUGCUUUGUUUCCUUUGAGAAAAUGUCUUACUGUUGUAGCCCAGGCUGGCCCAAGCUCCAGAGUCUUCUGCCUCUACCUAGAGAAUGCUGAUAUGGUAGAUUUACAUCCAUCAUCUUCUGGCUUGGAACUUUACUGUCCUAAAACGUUUUAAUUAGCCAUUAAAUGCACGUUGUUUUUUGUGGUACAA
Non-coding RNA from Rattus norvegicus (Norway rat), 10526 nucleotides. NCBI's taxonomy places the organism in Eukaryota, Metazoa, Chordata, Mammalia, Rodentia, Muridae. The record is from RefSeq and is a predicted model, not a curated record.